CACGGGUUUGGCUCGCCAGUCUUCGCCAUGGCUUUGCUUAGCGAGCAACACUGAGCCUGACUUAUUUGUUGAUGUUUUAAAGUGCAAUUAGGCACUUGUAACAUGGAUUUAAGGUAUCCUAACAUGCAAUUAAGUGUUUGUAACCAUGAUUAAUUGUAUUGUUGAUGAGUGAUGAUGUUUGUUGUUGAUAUUCGUGGAUGAAUCGUAGUGAGUGUGUUAAUGAUGUUUGUUUAAAUACCAAAGAAGAAUAUUAAGAUGUGAAUCAACUUAAUAAAGA
Molecule: long non-coding RNA, 277 nt
Filed under: Trifolium pratense (red clover)
Lineage: Eukaryota; Viridiplantae; Streptophyta; Magnoliopsida; Fabales; Fabaceae
Description: long non-coding RNA (TPRA_LNC005908)
Source: RNAcentral